This 2614-nucleotide ribosomal RNA is filed under the name Escherichia coli. RNAcentral describes it as "bacterial LSU rRNA". It matches the Rfam family "Bacterial large subunit ribosomal RNA", at positions 340 to 2925 of the family's 2925-position model. Lineage: Bacteria; Pseudomonadati; Pseudomonadota; Gammaproteobacteria; Enterobacterales; Enterobacteriaceae. The record is from RNAcentral.
GUCUGGAAAGGCGCGCGAUACAGGGUGACAGCCCCGUACACAAAAAUGCACAUGCUGUGAGCUCGAUGAGUAGGGCGGGACACGUGGUAUCCUGUCUGAAUAUGGGGGGACCAUCCUCCAAGGCUAAAUACUCCUGACUGACCGAUAGUGAACCAGUACCGUGAGGGAAAGGCGAAAAGAACCCCGGCGAGGGGAGUGAAAAAGAACCUGAAACCGUGUACGUACAAGCAGUGGGAGCACGCUUCGGCGUGUGACUGCGUACCUUUUGUAUAAUGGGUCAGCGACUUAUAUUCUGUAGCAAGGUUAACCGAAUAGGGGAGCCGAAGGGAAACCGAGUCUUAACUGGGCGUUAAGUUGCAGGGUAUAGACCCGAAACCCGGUGAUCUAGCCAUGGGCAGGUUGAAGGUUGGGUAACACUAACUGGAGGACCGAACCGACUAAUGUUGAAAAAUUAGCGGAUGACUUGUGGCUGGGGGUGAAAGGCCAAUCAAACCGGGAGAUAGCUGGUUCUCCCCGAAAGCUAUUUAGGUAGCGCCUCGUGAAUUCAUCUCCGGGGGUAGAGCACUGUUUCGGCAAGGGGGUCAUCCCGACUUACCAACCCGAUGCAAACUGCGAAUACCGGAGAAUGUUAUCACGGGAGACACACGGCGGGUGCUAACGUCCGUCGUGAAGAGGGAAACAACCCAGACCGCCAGCUAAGGUCCCAAAGUCAUGGUUAAGUGGGAAACGAUGUGGGAAGGCCCAGACAGCCAGGAUGUUGGCUUAGAAGCAGCCAUCAUUUAAAGAAAGCGUAAUAGCUCACUGGUCGAGUCGGCCUGCGCGGAAGAUGUAACGGGGCUAAACCAUGCACCGAAGCUGCGGCAGCGACGCUUAUGCGUUGUUGGGUAGGGGAGCGUUCUGUAAGCCUGUGAAGGUGUGCUGUGAGGCAUGCUGGAGGUAUCAGAAGUGCGAAUGCUGACAUAAGUAACGAUAAAGCGGGUGAAAAGCCCGCUCGCCGGAAGACCAAGGGUUCCUGUCCAACGUUAAUCGGGGCAGGGUGAGUCGACCCCUAAGGCGAGGCCGAAAGGCGUAGUCGAUGGGAAACAGGUUAAUAUUCCUGUACUUGGUGUUACUGCGAAGGGGGGACGGAGAAGGCUAUGUUGGCCGGGCGACGGUUGUCCCGGUUUAAGCGUGUAGGCUGGUUUUCCAGGCAAAUCCGGAAAAUCAAGGCUGAGGCGUGAUGACGAGGCACUACGGUGCUGAAGCAACAAAUGCCCUGCUUCCAGGAAAAGCCUCUAAGCAUCAGGUAACAUCAAAUCGUACCCCAAACCGACACAGGUGGUCAGGUAGAGAAUACCAAGGCGCUUGAGAGAACUCGGGUGAAGGAACUAGGCAAAAUGGUGCCGUAACUUCGGGAGAAGGCACGCUGAUAUGUAGGUGAAGUCCCUCGCGGAUGGAGCUGAAAUCAGUCGAAGAUACCAGCUGGCUGCAACUGUUUAUUAAAAACACAGCACUGUGCAAACACGAAAGUGGACGUAUACGGUGUGACGCCUGCCCGGUGCCGGAAGGUUAAUUGAUGGGGUUAGCGCAAGCGAAGCUCUUGAUCGAAGCCCCGGUAAACGGCGGCCGUAACUAUAACGGUCCUAAGGUAGCGAAAUUCCUUGUCGGGUAAGUUCCGACCUGCACGAAUGGCGUAAUGAUGGCCAGGCUGUCUCCACCCGAGACUCAGUGAAAUUGAACUCGCUGUGAAGAUGCAGUGUACCCGCGGCAAGACGGAAAGACCCCGUGAACCUUUACUAUAGCUUGACACUGAACAUUGAGCCUUGAUGUGUAGGAUAGGUGGGAGGCUUUGAAGUGUGGACGCCAGUCUGCAUGGAGCCGACCUUGAAAUACCACCCUUUAAUGUUUGAUGUUCUAACGUUGACCCGUAAUCCGGGUUGCGGACAGUGUCUGGUGGGUAGUUUGACUGGGGCGGUCUCCUCCUAAAGAGUAACGGAGGAGCACGAAGGUUGGCUAAUCCUGGUCGGACAUCAGGAGGUUAGUGCAAUGGCAUAAGCCAGCUUGACUGCGAGCGUGACGGCGCGAGCAGGUGCGAAAGCAGGUCAUAGUGAUCCGGUGGUUCUGAAUGGAAGGGCCAUCGCUCAACGGAUAAAAGGUACUCCGGGGAUAACAGGCUGAUACCGCCCAAGAGUUCAUAUCGACGGCGGUGUUUGGCACCUCGAUGUCGGCUCAUCACAUCCUGGGGCUGAAGUAGGUCCCAAGGGUAUGGCUGUUCGCCAUUUAAAGUGGUACGCGAGCUGGGUUUAGAACGUCGUGAGACAGUUCGGUCCCUAUCUGCCGUGGGCGCUGGAGAACUGAGGGGGGCUGCUCCUAGUACGAGAGGACCGGAGUGGACGCAUCACUGGUGUUCGGGUUGUCAUGCCAAUGGCACUGCCCGGUAGCUAAAUGCGGAAGAGAUAAGUGCUGAAAGCAUCUAAGCACGAAACUUGCCCCGAGAUGAGUUCUCCCUGACUCCUUGAGAGUCCUGAAGGAACGUUGAAGACGACGACGUUGAUAGGCCGGGUGUGUAAGCGCAGCGAUGCGUUGAGCUAACCGGUACUAAUGAACCGUGAGGCUUAACCUUACAACGCCGAAG